UUUCCCGUUAUACCCACUACUAAACCGUUCCCUUGUUCCAAGCUCCUUUUCCAGCUAAGAGAGAGAAACAAUAACAUACUAGAGAGAGAAACAAGAGCGACUGCGAGCGAAGGAGCGAGCGAGAGAGAGAACUCCACCUCCUCGCUCCUUCUCCUCCUCCGAUCCAUCGUGAUUCUUUUCAUCUGGUGAUAUUGCAUUCUAUUGAAAUGGCGGAUCCGUAUGUCCUAGGCUGGAUCCUUGUCUCUGUUCUCAGCGUCUUCGCGCUCUACAGCUUAGUUUUCGCCGGAGGAAACCGCCGCCGUCGUGCUUCGCAGGAGAACGAUGCUCAGCGUACGGGGAACGUGAAAACUUCCGUCAGAGAAUGUGGAUCCAAGAACCUCGAUGGCAACGAUGCUGACGUUAUCGUCGUCGGAGCUGGCGUUGCUGGCGCGGCUCUUGCUUACACACUCGGCAAGGAUGGACGGCGAGUACUUGUAGUUGAAAGAGAUUUGAGUGAGCCUGACAGAAUUGUUGGAGAGUUGCUACAACCUGGCGGCUAUCUCAAAUUGAUUGAGCUGGGACUUGAAGAUUGUGUGGAAGAAAUUGAUGCUCAGAGAGUGUUUGGUUAUGCACUUUUCAAGGACGGAAAAAAUACAUGCCUCUCUUAUCCCUUGGAAAAGUUUCAGUCAGAUAUCGCUGGUAGAAGCUUUCACAAUGGCCGUUUUAUUCAGAGGAUGCGGGAAAAGGCUGCCACACUGCCCAAUGUCCGGUUGCUGCAAGGGUCAGUCACUUCCUUGAUUGAAGAAAAGGGGACAAUUAAAGGUGUUCAGUACAAGACCAAAGAUGGUCAGGAGCUGAAAGUACAUGCACCUCUUACCGUUGUUUGUGAUGGCGGCUUCUCAAACUUGCGCCGUUGUCUUUGUAAUCCUAAGGUUGAUAUUCCCUCUCACUUCGUUGGCUUAAUUCUGGAGAAUUGCCAACUUCCAUAUGAAAAUCAUGGUCACGUCAUACUCGGAGACCCUUCCCCAAUUCUGUUCUAUCGCAUAAGUAGUACAGAGGUUCGUUGUUUGGUUGAUGUACCUGGGCAGAAAGUUCCUUCUAUCGCAAAUGGUGAAAUGGAGAAGUAUUUGAAGACAAUGGUGGCUCCACAGAUCCCCGCUGAGCUCCAUGAUGCCUUUUUAGCUGCAGUUGAGAAAGGCAACAUAAGGUCAAUAUCGAAUAGAAGCAUGCCAGCAGACCCCCUUCCUACCCCUGGAGCCAUUUUGAUGGGAGAUGCCUUCAACAUGAGGCAUCCUCUAACAGGGGGUGGAAUGACCGUGGCAUUGUCAGACAUUGUGGUGCUGAGAAAUCUUCUCAGGCCCCUGAGUGACCUGAAUGACGCACCCACACUCUGCAAAUACCUUGAAUCCUUUUACACCUUGAGAAAGCCUGUGGCAUCAACCAUAAAUACAUUAGCAGGUGCCUUGUACAAGGUCUUCUCUGCAUCUCCAGAUCAAGCAAGGAAGGAAAUGCGCCAAGCUUGCUUUGAUUAUCUGAGCCUUGGAGGCCUAUGUUCCCAGGGACCAAUCUCAUUACUCUCAGGACUAAACCCUCGUCCUUUGAGCUUGGUGGCUCAUUUCUUUGCUGUUGCAGUGUAUGGUGUUGGCCGCUUAAUAUUUCCCUUUCCCUCGCCCAAGAAGAUAUGGAUUGGAGCUCGGUUAAUCUCUAGUGCAUCUGGAAUCAUCUUUCCUAUAAUUAAGGCAGAAGGAGUUCGCCAAAUGUUCUUCCCUGCAACUGUUCCAGCUUAUUACAGAGCUCCUCCUGCUGCAAGAUAGUGAGUAUCGGUAAAAAAAAUUUUGGGGAAAAAAGAAUCAAGAUGCUUUCAAGAUUUAAGAGCUAGGUUUUCUCAGUUCAGGUUGAAAUCGAUGUCCCUGGGAGCUGAGAAGAAAGGACCUGCACCUGAUCCAAGUUGCAUUUCUUGCUAGAUGAAAUGGUUCUAGGAUUACUAAGGAAGAAAUAGAGAAUAUUUUUCAGAGGUGUAUUUUGCUGAACUAUUUCUUUCUUUUUUGACGAAAAAAAAAAAUAUAUCUGUUCAAAAAUUUUAUUAUUACUGAGAUAAUGAU
RNA transcript from Arachis stenosperma, 2081 nucleotides. It is a transcript of the gene named squalene monooxygenase SE1-like, with no coding region annotated. The transcript has 9 exons. Lineage: Eukaryota; Viridiplantae; Streptophyta; Magnoliopsida; Fabales; Fabaceae. The record is from RefSeq and is a predicted model, not a curated record.